GAUAAGCAAUUCUGAGAGUCAUAAGGAAGAACGCGCUUUCUGCGUUAAACAUCCAAACAACAAAAACAUUGUCAGCGUUCGACACAUUUCAUUUUGUUCAGCAAAAAUAAAUGUCCACGUAUUCAGGGAUUCAUGACAAAAAGGGAAUGGUUACUAAUUUCUAAAACGUCUGUUUGGUAUAAAAUGUGAGAUGUAGGAUGACACCACCUAAGCAGAUCGCUGCACUCAUGCGAAUGAGCUUGUCUCCCAUUCAUGGAGUCUGGGUCAAGCUUUGAGCUCGCCAGUGGAAAGUCUGCAUCAUUAAUGAGACCUCAUUAAAAAUUGAUGGAAAGAAGAGAAGGGGGUCAAGGACAAGAACACGAAGAAACAGAAGCAGAGUAAAGAAAGUGCCUCUAAUGCAGGAUUGUUGCACUGCAAGAUGACUUAAGGAAUGCAGGCAGCAGUGAAAGAUGUGUGCAUGCUAAUUUUAUAACCGUCUCCAAAUGAUAACUAAUCUCUAGUAAUUUAUAUACUGUUCAGCUGAACUAGUAGCCUGCGUGGUUUUGAUCUUUAGCUUUCUGGGAAAUUCUUAAAAUGUUAUAAAUAUAUCAAUUUGUUUUGCCUGUAAGCAGAUGAAGCUACUGAAACUACAAUAGGUUAAACCCAGAUGCGAUCAUGUGUCAAUAUGAGUAAAUCAGACGUCAACUUAUCACAAAAUGUAAAAAAAGAAACCAAAAAAGUGGUGACUUAACUUAAUGUCACAAUAAAAAAUAAAAACAUCAAACAGCUGUACUCGUUACUCAUUUUUUGAAUCUUUGGUGGUCAAAGGGAAACUGCAGCUUGAAGAGGUAUUAAUUAAUCAGCUGCUUGAACCUCCACUUUUCUGCAAAAACUGGCAUUUGUGAUUGGCCAUAAAUUAUAUAUAAUCAGACUCUCAGUAAAAUCUUAUUUCCUUCUUCAAAUAGCUGGAGAUGCCACUCAUUAUCCAGGGUCUAUAUUUGUUAUGAACUCAAAGCAGACAAAUGUCACACUUUCUUCUGUUUUAUAAAUCAAACCAGUAUCACAAAUCGCAUGUUUCCACCUAGUAUGGUGCAGCCUUGUUAAUUACAAGGAAACUACAUUUCUGAUGAAAUAUUGAUGCACAUCUUCAGUUCAUUCCAGAUGCGAGAGCAAGAUUUCAGCAGAUAACAGGAAGGCUGAAUGAAAAGAGCGCAGCAAAGUUGCUCUUUUGGACUCAAAUAUUGGAGUUUGAAUACUGAAGACAGUUUAAAACAUAAAUUCAUUUUGUCUGUUUUAAAUGAGUAAGACCCUGUUGUGCUUAGAUCUGAGUCGAAAAUUGUCUGCAAUACUUUGCUCAGCCUAUGCUCAUUUAUGAUUCAACAUUCACUUUUUCCACUCAGCAUGAAAACUCUGUCACAUAACCAGCUCCACUCCCAGAUCUCACACACUAAGUGUGACCUCAUCACGCCCUGGCUUUACUGGCUUUGGAUGUUGCUACUGGAUUGGCUGAGUUACAGUUCUACCUGAUGAUUUUUGACGCUCGACUCAGCCAAUCAGACGUGAGGGAUUGGCAGCCAGGCCUGCAGGUUAUUUACACGAUGCCAAACCAUUGCAACAUACAGAGCAAUUCUGCAGAAAUGCUGCAGAUGAACAUUGCACCAGUGCACUUUAAAUCUACAGAUAUAUUCUGUAAAUGAUAAAAUCUAGAUAUACAGGUACACAAUGUGAGAUGAGCAGAGAAUAUGGAGGAUGUUGUGUGGGGAAGAAGAGGACCGACAGAGGGCAAACUUGACCAGACUACAGAGUCUGAAUAUGGAGGGGCUUUGUUGAGAGAAAAAAAAAACCUAAUCUGUCGUUUCAUCGUAAAGUCAUGAGGUAACUGAGAACUAAAGUAAAUCCUCUUAUCCUCACACACACAUCCCUGCAUCACUUUCUGCUCCUCUCAAAAUAAAGGAGCCCUUUGCUGCCAGAGACAGCAUCUCCAUAUAAACAGCAGCUUAAGAGGAAGUCGAAUAUUUUAGCCCUGAUCAAGUCAAACAAAGGAUUUGUGUAGGUUCGAAGAAGAUAAAUCCCAGGCUUCAGUGAUUUGAGAGGCAAAACAUCUGCCGAAAGUGAAAGAAAGACGACCAGGCGGAGAGCGGCGCUGCUGCAGCACGGCUGGCGGCUUUAUGACACCAGUUGGAGGGCAGAGAGAGAGAGAGAGUUACAUAACAACCGUCUAUGCAAUGCGCAGGAACAGGUCUACUGAAAAACAAGCGCUUGGAUGACAACAAACAGAAAAAGUUCAGCAAAAAUGACAGCUAUGUUCAAAACAAACUGAUCAUCGAGGUCUAAUGAUAAAGUUUAAAUAUUCAUUUUGUGGACAAGAAUGAUCGAGCAUCAGGUAGAAUAAUCAUGAAGCUCGCAUUUUUUCAGCACAGACAUGCAUCAUUUUGACUUUGAUUCACUUAUUUUCUUUUCUAAAGAUUGUAACUCAUUUUAGAUAAAAAGGUUUGUUUGUUAUUGUGGUUUUGAAAUCUACAGAAAUUGUCCAUGUUUGUGCAUCCAAACGUGUCCCCUAACCCAAGUUAAUUAAAUCAAAAAGUAAAUCAAAUAUAUUAUUAAAAAAAGUACAAAAAAUAGUAAUUCUGAUCUCUUAUGCACCUCUCAGUUAAAACACUGUAAAUACAAACAUAUUUUGCUUUAUUUCAUUGAACUGUCCAGCACUUUAGUCAACAUCUGUUUUGCUACAUAAAUAAAUUGUCAGACAUUUUAGCUGUUCAUCUAAAAACGGUUAAAUCCUGAGUCUUAUAAACCUUUAAUACACACAGAUUAAACUCAUUGCUUGGAUAUAAAGAAAAACAAAACAUUCCUUGCUCUUAUAUGGAAAGUAAAACAAACAAUGAGUCUUACCCAACAGGUUUUUUGCAGCUGAAUGAAUCAUAACAAAUAUAAAAGCCCCAAAUUAGCAUUCCCGUCAUGAAUAACAAAUGCUUCAAUGCCAUGUGGAUGACCUCUUCUUCCUGCAUCCUUCCAGUCUUCACACCUCCCACUGUCAAUCAGUCUCCCUUUUAUACAUAUUUCCAGGUGUGUGUUUAGGUGUGGUCACAUGUUGCUGGAGCAGGUGAAAAUUUCACACUACUAAAAUGCAAUGAUAUCUAAAUGAAAAACCUCAUGGUUUAUUGCUUAGAUUAUAAAUGCCUUUUGCUGAAUAUACUUGUCAUGUUACAUGAAAAAAAGAUUGUUUCUUAAUUGUUGUUGUGUUUGGAGCUAAAAUUAAGCAUAAAGUGAUUAAAAUAUAAUUAAACACACACACAUUUUUUAUUAUUAAACUGCAAAAACGAAUUUCCAUUUUAAAACGGAAGAAAUUUGACUACCAAAGUUGUUUUAGAGACAAAACAUGUAAACAGAAAACAACUGCAUCAUAGUUUUGUUUCUGUUUUCCCUGUUUAAUGAUUUCCUGAGAAAUCAUAAAACAGGAAGAAUAAAGAGAAGCUGAAAUACAAAAAGUAAACCGCAUCCGACAUGAUUUUCACAUUUUUGGUGUCUUAUCUAUUUUCACUUGUAUUUUUAAAGAUGUUUCAUGGAUGGAGGAGUUAAAAGCAGUCAAGAAUUGGCUCUCUGUGUUGGUGUAAUACAGCAGAACCCAUGGCUGAAAGCUUGAUACUAGAUAAUGUGUAAAAGUUCCCCUCUGGUCUAAAUAUAAACAUCCUCCACAAACAUCCCACUGCAUCCAGAGAGAAUCUUCACACCAACACUUUGCACUUAUGUAAAUAAAUUAACAUUCACAACUCUCGCCCACAGGCUGAAAACCUAAACUGUUUGGCUUCACUUCACUCCUCAAACUUUAAAUUCUUCAGACAACUGAAGCAAAAGCAGAUUAUUUCUUUAGUAAUUGUGGAAAUUAAAGACAUAUUACUAAUCGAAACACUCACAAUUAUGAUAAUUCAUCUCCAAAAUAAGCUGAAAAAGGGCUUCACUGCUUGGCUGCACAGACAUAUUGCUAUCUGGCACCCAGCAGAUUCAGAGUGCAUGACCCAUCACUGUGAUCUGGGCCUAACUCGGCUGUGUAGUCAGAGAAAAAACGGCUCUCAACAUAGCAACGAUUCGAGUCUAUUUGCAGCAGGCGUCCAGACAGAGUCAGAAAUACACUGUGACUCAUCGCCUGUGGCGCACACAGAGGCUGCAGAUGACAGAAUCAGUCUGAAAUAUAAAAUAAACUAUUAAGAUUAUUGACCAAGGUAUAAGUCUGAGUGGUCUGUAUAGGCCAGCUCAACAUGCCAGGUUAUGGAUCUUCAAGUUCACACGCCUAACUAAUGGAAAAUACAGAUAACUUGAUACUCAUGUGAAUGAAGUUUGUUUAAAAGGAGCUCAAUUAAAUAAUUCAGCAGUCAUGCAGGCUCUGCAGGAUGAUUCACUGAGCUAGAUUACCUCAAUUGUUCUGAGUUGGUGUGUGUAAAGGUGCCGCAGAAUAUAUUUGCUGCAUUUUCCUCAACAUGUGCAGGCAAAAGAUGCCUGAGUGGGACAGAUUAGCACAGCCAGACUGUUGGCAAUAUUUAUGCAAUAAAAGCAAACACCAUGAUUAAACUUUAAUAUUGUGCCAUGUUAUUUCACAAACACAAAUACGAACAGCCAACCAUCAUGGAGUCAAAGGAAUUUUGAAGAUGAAACAAAUAAAAAGAUUUCCCACCUUUGAAAAUUCUUUAUUUUUUUGCAAAAGCCAGUUAUUGCUCUGCAGAUCCUCAGGUUUUAAUGUUAUUUUCUCAGUGUUUCCUGCAGAAGACUUCAUGGAUCUGAUGUAUGACUCAUUCAAAAUGUUUUGCCUAUCUUCUUUGCCUUAAUGUUGGAUGACGAGGCAAAAAUCCCUCACCAAAUAUCUAAAACUAAGCUUCUCCAUCUACACGUUAUGGACCAAGGGGUAACCUAGAUAACAUGUAAGGACAUGUUAUCAUUUACAUCCCUUUAGCAGGGAGGUGGGGGUGUGACAUCACACUGAAAUGGGUCCAUAAUCCUGUUUGUUUGUCGGAGGUUUGCCUCCGACAAACAAACAGGGUGGCAGAGCGAUAGCGCCUUGGAAUCAUGUCAAGAUUGGUUUGGGUCGCUCAUUUGAAAAGACCUUAAAAUUGAGAGCAAAAAGUAAAUGUGUCAAGCACAAAAUCACGUUUCAUUUUUGUUCUGAAUCUUUGUGGCAAAACUCUAAAACAGGGUGUUGUUUUAAAAUAUUAUGCCAUGUUAAUCUCAUAUUGAUCCAUUCCUAGAUCACUUUUAUAAUCCCAUAACACAACUUUUUCCACCUGUUAAGGCUUGCAUAGCACCUGGGAAUCUCCUAAAGGAAGUUUUUUUUAUUAAUCUAGCAUGGCUUCAGCUCUUCACUUAUCCUGUUUCAGUGCAUGGCCAACCCAGCAAACUGAAUGUCAAUCUUUGCUGUUCACAGCUAACUUUAAGACGCCUUACCUUGAUCCACAAACAUUACUUUUGUUUGCAUUUUAUUCAGGUGUUCCAAGGUGGGGAAGAUGGCAAGCAACUAAACUAAGUGACACAUCUACGAAAUAAACACCCUGACAACAGGUGUGCCUGCUUCUUAAAAAGGUUAAUUCACUCUGACUCAGCGGCUGUCGUCCCGGGUGAUGCUUCUGCCCAGACAAGCUUAGUUUGACACAAAACUCAUGUAACAAGAUCCACUGAGAAAGUUAUCAACGUUGAUCUCAAUGCUUUCUGGUUUUUGUCCAGUUUCUGACAUUUAAUCUAGACGUAUAAUAUAAUUUAGGAUUUCUCAUCUAAUACUUGAGCUAAAUUAAAUUCUCACUGUAAUUAUAUCAAGACAAAUUAAACUGAAGCUAUAAAACGCAGCUCGGAGAAAGCUGUAUUUGAGAAAACGGUGAGUAUAAACUUUUAAUUAAAGUCUAAAACUCGAGAGUUAUGUUUUGUUUGGAUGGUUUAAAAUUCAAACAGGACCUCAGAGAGGAAAAAGGAUGGAAGACAGGCAGAGGUUUCAGAGUAAAAACAAGCAGAGCAAAGAAGAGAUAGAUGUGGCUGGAAUGACAAGAGAUGCAGAUGAGAGUGUAAGAUGAUGAGUGCAGGAGGAACGGUGCAGGAGUCCAGCAGAAGAUCAGAUAUCCGAGACCAUGGAAGAAGAGGACAUAUAACACCAGCCUGGCACACACUGAGCCGGACAACCUGAAACGUUUUGGCUUUCCGCAUGUGUGCAGAUGGAAAAGGGACAAGAAAGUGAGCAGCAACCCAUCUCUGCGAAAAUGUGUUGUCUAAUUUUAACAGUAGUAUAGUUUAUUGUUUAUGGUCAAAAAUAAAGUGUAUUUUGUCCAGCUAACAUUGUUCAGCAAUAAGAUACCACAACUUUGAGAAAAAGAUCAAAUGUUCUGCACAUUUUUAAAGCAAACCUGAUUUCAAGAGCACAUUUUCUCUGCCUCAUGAUUUAAAUCUGAAUAUCUGGUGUGCUGUCUCUGCAGAAUUAUUACAAAUCCCAACAAAAUAAAAA
Molecule: long non-coding RNA, 6454 nt
Organism: Xiphophorus couchianus (Monterrey platyfish)
Lineage: Eukaryota; Metazoa; Chordata; Actinopteri; Cyprinodontiformes; Poeciliidae
Exons: 2
Source: RefSeq, a predicted model, not a curated record